Oreochromis aureus is the source of this 807-nucleotide long non-coding RNA. RefSeq lists it as uncharacterized. The record is from RefSeq and is a predicted model, not a curated record. The transcript has 4 exons. Lineage: Eukaryota; Metazoa; Chordata; Actinopteri; Cichliformes; Cichlidae.
CCUGCUGCAUAAAACAAGUGCCCUUGAGCUUCAGGGAACAAACUGAUGGACGGACACUCUCCUUCAGCAUUUUCUGGUAGAAAACAGAAUUCAUGGGUCCAUCAACUAGACGAGCCUUUAUGGUCUUUAUGGUCAGCAGUGAUUUUUUCCACCUUGGAAGCUUAACUAUGGAAGUCUGGAACACUUGAUGCUGCAUGGAUGUACAGUGGGAGUGUGACUCCAGUUUCAGAUGCAGGUGGACAGCUUGAUCGUUUUCCAGCCAUUCUCUGACAGCUCAAGUGUGACUUUUGGUUUAAUGGUCAAAAGUAUAUAUACAGACUCAAAUAUCUGCAUACACCAGUGACCACACCCAAGCUAAGGUAUGAUGUGAGACAGAAGAUGAAAAACACAGGGUGGAAAAGGCUGGAGCCUGUCUCAGCUACCAUAGAGGAGUGUUGGGGACAGUUGCCAAUCUGACACAGAGAAAGAGACAGACAACCAUUCACACUUAGACCUAUAGGCAAUUUAGAAUAAGUAAUUAACCUAACCCAACAAAUUAGAUAUAAUUGGACUAUUGGAGGAAGCCGGAUACCCAAGAGAACCCGCACAAACACAUGGAGAACAUGCAAACUCCACACAGAAAGGCUCUUGUGCAGUUAAACUCACGACGUUCUUGCUGUGAAAUAACAGUGGUAACCACUGCACUGCCCAGCUUUUAAGAAAUAAAACUGUAAAAUUUAUAAAGAAAGUGACAACAAACUUGGACUUUGUUCUUAUGUUACUUCACAAAAAAUCAAAAAAGGAAGUCGUUGUUCAUCAAUAAUAAAA